AUGAUUAAUAGGGACAGUCGGGGGCAUCAGUAUUCAGUUGUCAGAGGUGAAAUUCUUGGAUCUACUGAAGACUAACUACUGCGAAAGCAUUUGCCAAGGAUGUUUUCAUUGAUAAGGAACGAAAGUUAGGGGAUCGAAGACGAUCAGAUACCGUCGUAGUCUUAACUAUAAACUAUGCCGACUAGGGAUCGGACGAUGUUAUUAUUUGACGCGUUCGGCACCUUUCGAGAAAUCAAAGUGCUUGGGCUCCAGGGGGAGUAUGGUCGCAAGGCUGAAACUUAAAGAAAUUGACGGAAGGGCACCACCAGGGGUGGAACCUGCGGCUUAAUUUGACUCAACACGGGGAAACUCACCAGGUCCAGACACAGUGAGGAUUGACAGAUUGAGAGCUCUUUCUUGAUUCUGUGGGUGGUGGUGCAUGGCCGUUCUUAGUUGGUGGAGUGAUUUGUCUGCUUAAUUGCGAUAACGAACGAGACCUUAACCUGCUAAAUAGCCCGUACUGCUCUGGCAGUUCGCCGGCUUCUUAGAGGGACUAUCGGCUCAAGCCGAUGGAAGUUUGAGGCAAUAACAGGUCUGUGAUGCCCUUAGAUGUCCUGGGCCGCACGCGCGUUACACUGACAGAGCCAGCGAGUACCUCCUUGGCCGGAA
RNAcentral lists this ribosomal RNA (648 nucleotides) under Scopulariopsis brevicaulis (arsenic fungus). RNAcentral's name for it is "SSU rRNA". It matches the Rfam family "Eukaryotic small subunit ribosomal RNA", at positions 865 to 1538 of the family's 1831-position model. Lineage: Eukaryota; Fungi; Ascomycota; Sordariomycetes; Microascales; Microascaceae. The record is from RNAcentral.